Molecule: ribosomal RNA, 108 nt
Filed under: chicken gut metagenome
Source: RNAcentral
GGUGAUAAUGGCGACGAGGAUCCACCUGUUCCCAUUCCGAACACAGAAGUUAAGCUCGUCUACGCCGAAAGUACUUGGCACAGAGCGCCCGGGAGGAUAGGAAAUUGC